This 501-nucleotide ribosomal RNA is filed under the name uncultured bacterium. RNAcentral describes it as "partial 16S ribosomal RNA". It matches the Rfam family "Bacterial small subunit ribosomal RNA", at positions 30 to 523 of the family's 1533-position model. The record is from RNAcentral.
AUUGAACGCUGGCGGCAGGCUUAACACAUGCAAGUCGAGCGGGGGGAGGUAGCUUGCUACCGGACCUAGCGGCGGACGGGUGAGUAAUGCUUAGGAAUCUGCCUAUUAGUGGGGGACAACAUCUCGAAAGGGAUGCUAAUACUGCAUACGUCCUACGGGAGAAAGCAGGGGACCUUCGGACCUCGCGCUAAUAGAUGAGCCUAAGUCGGAUUAGCUAGUUGGUGGGGUAAAGGCCUACCAAGGCGACGAUCUGUAGCGGGUCUGAGAGGAUGAUCCGCCACACUGGGACUGAGACACGGCCCAGACUCCUACGGGAGGCAGCAGUGGGGAAUAUUGGACAAUGGGGGGAACCCUGAUCCAGCCAUGCCGCGUGUGUGAAGAAGGCCUUAUGGUUGUAAAGCACUUUAAGCGAGGAGGAGGCUACUUUAGUUAAUACCUAGAGAUAGUGGACGUUACUCGCAGAAUAAGCACCGGCUAACUCUGUGCCAGCCGCCGCCGUAA